RNAcentral lists this unclassified non-coding RNA (412 nucleotides) under Hevea brasiliensis (rubber tree). Lineage: Eukaryota; Viridiplantae; Streptophyta; Magnoliopsida; Malpighiales; Euphorbiaceae. The record is from RNAcentral.
GGAGAGGUCAAGCAAGAAUCAAAUAUGGAGGGUACUUCUGCUGCAGCAGGAUCAUCUGAUGACAAGAAGUCCAUAGGAUUUGAAGAUGUGAAGAAUAUACAGGAUGAAUAUAUUAAGGCAUAUUAUGAGGCUCUAUUCAAGCGGCAAAAAGAGCAAGAAGAAGCUACCAAAUUGUUGCCGGAAACAUCAACUACAGAUGGAGUAUAUAACCCCUCUACUGAGCGCCAAGUUGGCAUGAAAUCCAAACGUGAAGAGGAGGACGAAGGAGAGGAUGUUGAAUGGGAGGAGGCCCCACCUGCAGGUAAUACUACAACUGGAAAUCUCAAGGUAGACUUGAAUGUUCAAGCAGAUGCUUCGGAGGAUGACAACGAUGAAGAAGAUGACAUAGACUGGGAAGAAGGUUGAUGGUCAA